Molecule: ribosomal RNA, 718 nt
Filed under: uncultured bacterium
Lineage: Bacteria
Description: bacterial SSU rRNA
Rfam family: Bacterial small subunit ribosomal RNA
Source: RNAcentral
ACGGGUGAGUAACACGUAAAGAACCUGCCUCAUAAACUGGGACAACCAUUGGAAACGAUAGCUAAUACCGGAUAACAGCAUUAACUGCAUGGUUGAUGUUUAAAAGUUGGUUUUGCUAACACUAUGAAAUGGCUUUGCGGUGCAUUAGCUAGUUGGUGGGGUAAAGGCCUACCAAGGCGACGAUGCAUAGCCGACCUGAGAGGGUGAUCGGCCACACUGGGACUGACACACGGCCCACACUCCUACGGGAGGCAGCAGUAGGGAAUCUUCCGCAAUGGGCGAAAGCCUGACGGAGCAACGCCGCGUGAGUGAAGAAGGAUUUCGGUUCGUAAAGCUCUGUUGUUAGGGAAGAAUGAUUGUGUAAUAACUAUACACAGUAGAGACGGUACCUAACCAAAAAGCCACGGCUAACUACGUGCCAGCAGCCGCGGUAAUACGUAGGUGGCAAGCGUUGUCCGGAAUUAUUGGGCGUAAAGCGCGCGCAGGUGGUUUAAUAAGUCUGAUGUGAAAGCCCACGGCUCAACCGCGGAGGGUCAUUGCAAACUGUUAACUUGAAUGCAUGAGAGAAGAGUGAAAUUCCUAAUGUACCGGUGAAAUGCGUAUAGAUUAGGAGAAAACACCAGUAGCGAAAGCGGAUUUCUGGCCUGAAACUGACACUGACGAGCCAAAGCGUGGGGAGCAACAAGAUUAGAUACCCUGGCUAGUCCACGCCCUCAAC